Acinonyx jubatus (cheetah) is the source of this 1063-nucleotide long non-coding RNA. RefSeq lists it as uncharacterized. The record is from RefSeq and is a predicted model, not a curated record. The transcript has 7 exons. NCBI's taxonomy places the organism in Eukaryota, Metazoa, Chordata, Mammalia, Carnivora, Felidae.
CGGGGGGCACCAGCCUAGCGUUUCCUGAGAGCACGAGAGCACAAAGAUUUGCAGGUGUUUACCAGUGAGUCAAACCUGAAGUCCGCCUCUCAGGCAUAAGCUCCUGGACAAGCAAAUAGGACUUUUUUUUACGGAAAGAUUGGGGUAUGUCAGUCUGUGCAAUGUGGGGUGGGGAGGUGGGGUGGUAGCCUGCCCAGAAUGAUUUCUCUGAUGGGUACAGCCCCCGGGGACCCAGGACCGUAAGCUCCCACCCGGCAGCCAUCAGAGCCAGGCCCUCAAGGGGCACGCUCUGUGCGCAGCCGCAAUGCCCUGCGCACCACACCCUUGAGGGAGCUCCGGCGGGAGAUACUGGCUCCAGAGCCCAGGACGGGAGGCCGAAGACGGCGACCCGCCAGGACCUCCCUCCCUGGGGACAGCCCCAGCGACUUCCAAAUGCGUGCGAAAUCAUAUGGCUGUCGCUCAGGCCGAAGCUCCGAGACAAGGAAAAAGCAAAUGAGCGUCUCCCACACGGAGCCUGCACGCCCCUCGCUCCUCAAUGAGCCGCUUCCGCGCUGGGCACUGAGGCCGGUUCUGUUACCAGAGGUCAACCUUGGUUGGAAGUAGCAGACCCAGUUUCUGACAAAUCAUCAGGGCCUGGAUUUGAAUGAUCAUUUUUGGAAGGAAUAUCACAAAGCUGCCUGGAAUGCUUCCUAAGGAAUGAAUGGAAGUCCCUAAUUCGCCACAUUCUUGUCAGUAUUUGGUGUUGUCAGUAUUCUGGAUUCUGACCAUGCUAAUAGAAAACACUGAAGUAUCUUGUGGAGAAUCAUGGUCCCAAAUCACACUGGUCUCAAGGCCCUCCCUCCACCUGCGCGGAAGUCCACAGCCACCUGCUAUCUUCAGAGGUCUAAGAAACUGAGGCUGUGACACAUAAGAGCAGCAACAACAAAUGUAAUAACACAGACCAUCUGAUAAAAGCCUGCAAGACAACGAAUCCCAGGUAUUGAGGUAAAAAAUCCUGCAACACUUCUACAUUCCAGCAAGAGACUAUGAGCUACUCUCAUCUCAGGAAAGAAUGGAACUUCUU